This 649-nucleotide small RNA is filed under the name Arabidopsis thaliana (thale cress). RNAcentral describes it as "ATSL177820". The record is from RNAcentral. Lineage: Eukaryota; Viridiplantae; Streptophyta; Magnoliopsida; Brassicales; Brassicaceae.
AAUGUUAUUCAAAAUUAAAAGACUUGUAAAAUCUUUGUAUAUUAAUUGAUUUGAAAUGAAACCUCUUUGGAGUUUCAUGAGUAAAUCAUUAGAAUCAAAAAUCCAAGACAUAUUGUAGAGAUUUUGAAAGUCAUACAAACAUAUUCUUAAAAGCAAUAUCAGAAAACAAAUCUAAGGUGGUGUUAUUCAAUUAUGGAGUUAAAGUCAAUUCUUUAAGCUUUAGAUUUGUUUUCUGAUAUUGCUUUUUAAAAAAUGUUUGUAUGAAUUUCAAAAUCUCUGCAAUAUGUCUUGGAUUUCAAUUCUAAUAAAAUACUCGUGAAACUCUAAAGAAGUUUCAUUUCAAAUGAAUUAAUAUACAAGGAUUUUACAAGUUUUUAAGUUUUGAAUAACACUGGAUUUUAAUGAAAUAUUUAAAAUCUUAAUUGAAUAACACUAAACUUUAAAAUCUAUUAAGCAUGAUUUACAAAGAUGAGUUCCAAUAACACUAGAUUUUAAAACUGGAUUUAGAAUCAUUAGUUGAAUAACAGUGGAUUAGUGUUGGAUUUCAAUUCUAUUAAAAUCCAUUAACUAAUAACACCCCCUAAAACUUAAAGAAUUGACUUUAACUCCAUAAUUGAAUAACACCACCUUAUUCUUGAGAUUUUUCAUA